Molecule: transfer RNA, 89 nt
Filed under: Marivirga lumbricoides
Lineage: Bacteria; Pseudomonadati; Bacteroidota; Cytophagia; Cytophagales; Marivirgaceae
Also listed under: 1 other name
Description: Marivirga sp. JLT2000 tRNA
Rfam family: tRNA
About the family: Transfer RNA (tRNA) molecules are approximately 80 nucleotides in length. Their secondary structure includes four short double-helical elements and three loops (D, anti-codon, and T loops).
Source: Rfam by way of RNAcentral
GGAGGAGUGGGUGAGUGGCUGAAACCAGUAGUUUGCUAAACUGCCGAACUUAGUAAUAGGUUCCGGGGGUUCGAAUCCCCCCUCCUCCG